CGGCCCAGACUCCUACGGGAGGCAGCAGUGGGGAAUAUUGCACAAUGGGCGGAAGCCUGAUGCAGCGACGCCGCGUGAGGGAUGACGGCCGUCGGGUUGUAAACCUCUUUCAGUAGGGAAGAAGCGAGAGUGACGGUACCUGCAGAAGAAGCGCCGGCUAACUACGUGCCAGCAGCCGCGGUAA
This 184-nucleotide ribosomal RNA is filed under the name Kocuria rosea. RNAcentral describes it as "partial 16S ribosomal RNA". It matches the Rfam family "Bacterial small subunit ribosomal RNA", at positions 327 to 523 of the family's 1533-position model. Lineage: Bacteria; Bacillati; Actinomycetota; Actinomycetes; Micrococcales; Micrococcaceae. The record is from RNAcentral.